This 247-nucleotide ribosomal RNA is filed under the name uncultured bacterium. RNAcentral describes it as "partial 16S ribosomal RNA". It matches the Rfam family "Bacterial small subunit ribosomal RNA", at positions 523 to 769 of the family's 1533-position model. The record is from RNAcentral.
AUACGGAGGGUGCGAGCGUUAAUCGGAAUUACUGGGCGUAAAGGGUGCGUAGGUUGUUUGAUAAGUUAUCUGUAAAAUCCCCGGGCUUAACCUGGGCAGGUCAGAUAAGACUGUUGGACUUGAGUACAGGAGAGGGCAGUGGAAUUUCCGGUGUAGCGGUGAAAUGCGUAGAGAUCGGAAGGAACACCAGUGGCGAAGGCGGCUGCCUGGCCUGAUACUGACACUGAGGCACGAAAGCGUGGGGAGC